RNAcentral lists this ribosomal RNA (253 nucleotides) under uncultured bacterium. Its description in RNAcentral is "partial 16S ribosomal RNA". It matches the Rfam family "Bacterial small subunit ribosomal RNA", at positions 524 to 776 of the family's 1533-position model. The record is from RNAcentral.
UACGUAGGGGGCGAGCGUUGUCCGGAAUCAUUGGGCGUAAAGCGCGUGUAGGCGGCCCGGUAAGUCCGCUGUGAAAGUCCAGGGCUCAACCCUGGGAUGCCGGUGGAUACUGUCGGGCUCGAGUCCGGAAGAGGCGAGUGGAAUUCCUGGUGUAGCGGUGAAAUGCGCAGAUAUCGGGAAGAACACCCGUGGCGAAGGCGGCUCUCUGGGACGGUACUGACGCUGAGACGCGAAAGCGUGGGGAGCGAACAGG